GCUUGGAUCUAAAAAAGAAAGUUCAAUAUCUUAUACGUGUCAUCAAACAAACUGUCGCCCUAGUAAAGUAAUAUAACAUAAUGCGAUGAAGGUUAAAGAGGUUUAAGCAAAGUCAAAAAUUUCCUACCGCUUCUAAUAUCUAAUGUUGUAUCUGCCUUAACUUCCAAGAGAUUUAAAGAAGUACGGACGAACGAAACGGGGAAAUUCCGGCAUAACAACACAACAACAACAUUUUUCCUUAUUAGGACUAUAUGCAGGAGCAUACCAAUUCCUUGGUCUGAAAUUGAAAUUCACACUUUGUAUGGUGCGAAAAACAGGGAAAGGUUGAGUGUCCAUCUACAACUUAACAAGAGAAUUUCAGUUGUUUACCAAUUACUGAAUUCUCUUGCUCGUUAACAUCAACAACUUCAGUUAGCCUUGCAACAAUAGGCAUCCAUGGCCUUACGCUUCUACUUACUAUUGCCCUUAUGACUGGGACAAGCAUAGGUGUGCCAAUGGGUUCACCGUCUUCUAGCUAUGGUGGUUAUUCAUACCAGAUAACCACUGCUGCGCCGUACUACACCACGAUGUAUUCGUUUCCUACUUACUACACCACGUAUGCAGUACCGACUUACUAUACGGAGGCCCCGAAAUACUACCCCGCGCCGAACUAUUACAGAGAAGCGCCAGUGUAUUACAUUACAGCGUACGCUUCACCGUCUUACUACACUGAGGCCCCAAAAUAUUACGUAGCUCCAACCUACUUCACCGAAGCUGCCCCAUCUUACUACUCCUAGCCGACCAACUAUACUGAAGCCUCGAAGUACUACGCUGCCCCAAGUUACUACACCAUGGCUGCUCCUUCAUAGUACAUGGAACCAGGUAAUAUGAAUCCUUUUGUUUUAUCAUUUGCAGUCCUCGUUUCAAAAUGAGUAUUUCCCUGUCAAAUAUUUAUGCGUUCACUAGUCGUCCCAUAAGAAUGUGGUUUCUCAAUGAAAUGUUGAAUACAAAUAUAUAAUUAUCGACAUUAAUUCUGUAUCAAAUAUAGCGGUUGAAGGCGAUUCCGAUUGGUUUUUUUUACAACAUUGCAAUUCUGAACAUUAUUUUUCAAUUGGACAAUUUAGAGUUACAUCAUGAACAUUUGUGAA
Daphnia magna is the source of this 1127-nucleotide long non-coding RNA. RefSeq lists it as uncharacterized. The record is from RefSeq and is a predicted model, not a curated record. The transcript is spliced from 3 exons. NCBI's taxonomy places the organism in Eukaryota, Metazoa, Arthropoda, Branchiopoda, Diplostraca, Daphniidae.